Molecule: unclassified non-coding RNA, 300 nt
Filed under: Astraeus sp. (in: basidiomycete fungi)
Lineage: Eukaryota; Fungi; Basidiomycota; Agaricomycetes; Boletales; Astraeaceae
Also listed under: 1 other name
Description: partial contains 5.8S ribosomal RNA, internal transcribed spacer 2, and large subunit ribosomal RNA
Rfam family: 5.8S ribosomal RNA (bases 1-52)
Source: RNAcentral
AACGCACCUUGCGCUCCUUGGUAUUCCGAGGAGCAUGCCUGUUUGAGUGUCAUUAAAUUCUCAACCUUCCAUGUUUUAUUAGCAUGGUUAGGCUUGGAUGUGGGGGUUGCGGGCUUCAUCAAUGAUGUCGGCUCUCCUUAAAUGCAUUAGCGGAACUUUUGUGGACCGUCUAUUGGUGUGAUAGUUAUCUACGCCGUGGAUGUGAUGCAGCUUUAUGAAGUUCAGCUUCUAACCGUCCAUUGACUUGGACAAUUUUGACAAUUUGACCUCAAAUCAGGUAGGACUACCCGCUGAACUUAA